Molecule: ribosomal RNA, 573 nt
Filed under: Neogobius melanostomus (round goby)
Lineage: Eukaryota; Metazoa; Chordata; Actinopteri; Gobiiformes; Gobiidae
Description: partial large subunit ribosomal RNA
Rfam family: Bacterial large subunit ribosomal RNA
Source: RNAcentral
UAACGGCCGCGGUAUUUUGACCGUGCAAAGGUAGCGUAAUCAAUUGUCUUUUAAAUGGAGACCUGUAUGAAUGGCAUAACGAGGGCUAUGCUGUCUCCUCUCCCCGGUCAAUGAAAUUGAUCUGCCCGUGCAGAAGCGGGCAUAACACCAUAAGACGAGAAGACCCUAUGGAGCUUUAGACACCCAACCAUACCGCGUUAAGAGCCCCAUACCAGGGCGACUAAACCAAAUGAACCCUGCUUUUUUGUCUUUGGUUGGGGCGACCGCGGAGAAAAACCAAACCCCCGCGUGGAAUGGGACCUCCCCUUGAAAAAAGGCCUACGGGCCUAAAAUCCAGAAAGUCUGACCAUAAAGACCCGGCAAUGCCGAUCAACGGACCCAGUUACCCUAGGGAUAACAGCGCAAUCCCCUUUUAGAGCCCACAUCGACGAGGGGGUUUACGACCUCGAUGUUGGAUCAGGACUUCCUAAUGGUGCAGCCGCUAUUAAGGGUUCGUUUGUUCAACGAUUAAAGUCCUACGUGAUCUGAGUUCAGACCGGAGUAAUCCAGGUCAGUUUCUAUCUAUGAAGUGUU